RNAcentral lists this ribosomal RNA (98 nucleotides) under Salvator merianae (Argentine black and white tegu). The record is from RNAcentral. Lineage: Eukaryota; Metazoa; Chordata; Lepidosauria; Squamata; Teiidae.
CCCGUCAGUGAUCUUGUCUGAUCUUGGAAGCUAAAAAAGGCUAGACAUAGUUAGUACUUGGAUAGGAGACCACCGGGGAAUACCAAGUACUGAAGGGA